UCCGAGUUGACCCCGGCAGUCUCCUGCGAGUCCCCGCCAUUACGCGCUGGCAACACAGGACAAGGGUUGCGCUCGUUGCGGGACUUAACCCAACAUCUCACGACACGAGCUGACGACAGCCAUGCAGCACCUGUGUUCAGGUUCUCUUUCGAGCACAUCGCCAUCUCUGGCGACUUCCUGACAUGUCAAGGGUAGGUAAGGUUUUUCGCGUUGCAUCGAAUUAAUCCACAUCAUCCACCGCUUGUGCGGGUCCCCGUCAAUUCCUUUGAGUUUUAGCCUUGCGGCCGUACUCCCCAGGCGGGGUGCUUAAUGCGUUAGCUGCGGCACGAACGGCGUGGAAUACCGCUCACACCUAGCACCCACCGUUUACGGCGUGGACUAC
RNAcentral lists this unclassified non-coding RNA (382 nucleotides) under uncultured bacterium. RNAcentral describes it as "contains 16S-23S intergenic spacer region". The record is from RNAcentral.